This is a non-coding RNA of Cadophora sp. MPI-SDFR-AT-0126, 88 nucleotides long. NCBI's taxonomy places the organism in Eukaryota, Fungi, Ascomycota, Leotiomycetes, Helotiales, Ploettnerulaceae. The record is from the annotation of a GenBank genome assembly.
GCCCGAAUGGCACAGUGGUAAUGCGUCUCACUCGUAUACGAUGUGACGCGACAUGAGAAGAUCCGCGGUUCGAUUCCGCGUUUGGGCA